GACGAACGCUGGCGGCGUGCUUAACACAUGCAAGUCGAACGGACAGGCCAUGCUCUUGUGGGGUGCUCGAGUGGCGAACGGGUGAGUAAAACGUGAGUAAAAUGCCCUUGUCAUUGGGAUAACUUCAGGAAAAUGGGGCUAAUACAAGAUAGGAGCUCCUGCUGCAUGGUGGGGGUUGGAAAGAUUCGGCGGUUGGGGCUGGACUGGCGGCUUAUCCGCUUGUUGGUGGGGUAGGGAAAUACCAAGCCUUUGACGGGUAGGCGGCCUGAGAGGGGGGACGGCCACCUUGGGCCUGAGAUACGGACCAGACGCCUACGUGAGGCAGCAGUGGAGAACAUUACACAAUGGGCGGAAGCCUGAUGCGGCAACGCCGCGUGCGUGAUAACGGCCUUCUGGUUGUAAACCGCUUUCGCCGGUGACGAGGCGUGAGUGACGGUAAUGGGUAAAGAAGCACCGGCUAACUACGUG
This 468-nucleotide ribosomal RNA is filed under the name uncultured bacterium. Its description in RNAcentral is "partial 16S ribosomal RNA". It matches the Rfam family "Bacterial small subunit ribosomal RNA", at positions 28 to 507 of the family's 1533-position model. The record is from RNAcentral.